This is a long non-coding RNA of Rhincodon typus (whale shark), 2031 nucleotides long. RefSeq lists it as uncharacterized. Lineage: Eukaryota; Metazoa; Chordata; Chondrichthyes; Orectolobiformes; Rhincodontidae. The record is from RefSeq and is a predicted model, not a curated record. The transcript is spliced from 3 exons.
CAUUGGGCUGCGAUGCCAUUGCUGCAACUAUUGCUGAAACUGCCCCCUCCCCAAUCUCCCCCUGGUGCCUCUGGAACAUGCCUGGGCAGGACCCACUCGCACGCCAAGCUGGGAGGCUGCCAUGAGGACCGGGCCAAGACACUACCACAGGUGUCUAGCUGGGUUCACGCUGAGGUCAGGAAGGAACACCCAGAGAGAAAGGGGGAAAAAAAAACAGACAAAAGAAGGGAGCACAAAAGGCACCCUUUGACCAGCAAAAUGUCUGCAAUAGCGACGGAAGGAAAGCAGGGCUGGACGAAUGCAGCAGCACAAGAGGUAUAGCCAGCAGCAAUGGACCUCCUCAGAAUUCAGCUGCUGAAGGGAAGGAGGGUCAUUGCAGUUCCUGCAAUGUUCCAUUUGAGUAGCACCUGGAAGCAGCAGGAUAUUAACUUUCAGAACAUCUUGGCACCAAGUGGAUGCAUCAUGGCUAAUUCCAAUCAUAGAUACAUAGGAAUUCCAAAUGGAUCUCCCAUUGUGGACUCUUCAGAAUAAGAAUAAGUUGAAGCUUCAAAAGAUAGAUUGCAGCAGUGAUCCGUGAGGAAAAAUGAACAAAAAAAAGUGGAAAGAAAAUGCUGUGGAGAAAUAAUUAUAAUAUCCCCAUUUGUAAUGUACAUUUAUGUCCCUUUAAAUUUCAUUCUGCCUUGAAGGUAAUCUCUAGCAACAUUGGCCUCUUGGUUUUUCCAGAUGUCAGCUAUCUUCAGUGUUAUUGAGACAAUGGAACAUGAAACAUAAUAUAAAGUGGAAAGCAGGAUGCAUAAAAUACUGUUUUAUGCCAACUAAUUUAAAUACAUUGUUCCACAUUUGGCUUGGUGAAAUUUAGGCCGGACGAAGAUGAAGACUCCCAUUUCUGAUAUAAUGAAGGAAAUGCAUCAAUUGGGACUGCAGUUGGUGAAAACAUAAGGGUUGUGUGUCUGUGACUUCCACCUUGAAGCUAUUUUUCAACAUUCAUUUGGCUCUUGUAGUUUUAUAUCAAGAUUGUACCUACACAAAGGUAAUAAUGAAUACAAACUUAUAUUAGAAUGAAAUUUGGUGCUAAAAUGCCUUGCUGGUCGAAAUUUGCAUUUUUAAAAAGGUAGGGUUCUGAUGUUCAAUGUUGUUUAUAUCCAUUUUCCAGGUGAUAAAUGAAUGAAUUAUAAUGAUGAGGCCUGAGGACAAAUUUAGGAUAUUUCUUGGGCUGUUUGGAUCUGACAUGGUUGAGUUUGCCCUAUAUGUGCCUCUGUAUUUGUAACCGCUUCAAGUCCGUUACCCGGAAAACGUUGUUCAUUAAGAUAUCAAGACAUCUGUCCUAUAAUAACUGGUUUCAGGUGCAUUGAGAUGUAUUAACACUGCCAGAAAGUGCAGCAGUACUGCACUUGACUGAGCAUAUUUCAGGCUUCUCAUGUGACUGUUCCGUAUGGUUGCUUUAUUCUGUAUGUCAUAUUGUGUUAACCACAGCUCGAACAAAGAAAAGCCACAAGACAUCUGAACUUCCUUUUGGCAUUUAGCUUUGUGAUGAUCAAAAUUAUAAUUUUACUUGAUUAUCUCAACAGCACAGAUAAAACUGUCUUGGGCAAUACACCCUUUUUUAAAUUUGGUACCAUCUUGAUGAAAAGUGAAUAGUGAUUGGUUUUGUUAUUAACUGUGAAACUGUGAUUACAAGGUGAAGAUAAAUAAUUUUAUGAUUUUAUGAUCUUAUGAUCCUCAAGGGUAAUGGAAGCUGAUUUGAUGGGAACUUGCAAAACGGAAAUUGGAUGUUGAUUUCAAAGAGCCAACUUAGGCAUAAUGGACUGAAUAGACAGAACCAUUUUAUGAUUCUAUGAUGGUGUAUUCAGGAGCAAAUUUACCUCAGAAACACCAGCUUGGAAGACUGAAUAGUUGGCAUGAAUGGAGGAAAUUUCUCUUCCUGGUAAUAUUCUGGAGAGUCAAAAAAGUGUAAAAUCUACAUCCCACAUCCCCACUGAACUGAGAUGAAUUUCAAAUUAGCACAUUAAAUAUUCAAAUAUCAGUACCACA